RNAcentral lists this ribosomal RNA (240 nucleotides) under uncultured bacterium. RNAcentral's name for it is "partial 16S ribosomal RNA". It matches the Rfam family "Bacterial small subunit ribosomal RNA", at positions 335 to 561 of the family's 1533-position model. The record is from RNAcentral.
ACUCCUACGGGAGGCAGCAGUGGGGAAUAUUGGACAAUGGGGGGAACCCGUGAUCCAGCCAUGCCGCGUGUGUGAAGAAGGCCUUUUGGUUGUAAAGCACUUUAAGCGAGGAGGAGGCAUUGACCUGGUUAAUAUCCAUGGGAUAAGUGGACGUUACUCGCAGAAUAAGCACCGGCUAACUCUGUGCCAGCAGCCGCGGUAAUACAGAGGGUGCAAGCGUUAAUCGGAUUUACUGGGCGU